Molecule: ribosomal RNA, 1376 nt
Filed under: uncultured bacterium
Lineage: Bacteria
Description: bacterial SSU rRNA
Rfam family: Bacterial small subunit ribosomal RNA
Source: RNAcentral
CCUGGCUCACGAUGAACGCUAGCUACAGGCUUAACACAUGCAAGUCGAGGGGCAGCAUGGUCUUAGCUUGCUAAGGCCGAUGGCGACCGGCGCACGGGUGAGUAACACGUAUCCAACCUGCCGUCUACUCUUGGACAGCCUUCUGAAAGGAAGAUUAAUACAAGAUGGCAUCAUGAGUCCGCAUGUUCACAUGAUUAAAGGUAUUCCGGUAGACGAUGGGGAUGCGUUCCAUUAGAUAGUAGGCGGGGUAACGGCCCACCUAGUCUUCGAUGGAUAGGGGUUCUGAGAGGAAGGUCCCCCACAUUGGAACUGAGACACGGUCCAAACUCCUACGGGAGGCAGCAGUGAGGAAUAUUGGUCAAUGGGCGAGAGCCUGAACCAGCCAAGUAGCGUGAAGGAUGACUGCCCUAUGGGUUGUAAACUUCUUUUAUAAAGGAAUAAAGUCGGGUAUGGAUACCCGUUUGCAUGUACUUUAUGAAUAAGGAUCGGCUAACUCCGUGCCAGCAGCCGCGGUAAUACGGAGGAUCCGAGCGUUAUCCGGAUUUAUUGGGUUUAAAGGGAGCGUAGAUGGAUGUUUAAGUCAGUUGUGAAAGUUUGCGGCUCAACCGUAAAAUUGCAGUUGAUACUGGAUAUCUUGAGUGCAGUUGAGGCAGGCGGAAUUCGUGGUGUAGCGGUGAAAUGCUUAGAUAUCACGAAGAACUCCGAUUGCGAAGGCAGCCUGCUAAGCUGCACUGACAUUGAGGCUCGAAAGUGUGGGUAUCAAACAGGAUUAGAUACCCUGGUAGUCCACACGGUAAACGAUGAAUACUCGCUGUUUGCGAUAUACUGCAAGCGGCCAAGCGAAAGCGUUAAGUAUUCCACCUGGGGAGUACGCCGGCAACGGUGAAACUCAAAGGAAUUGACGGGGGCCCGCACAAGCGGAGGAACAUGUGGUUUAAUUCGAUGAUACGCGAGGAACCUUACCCGGGCUUAAAUUGCAGAUGAAUUACGGUGAAAGCCGUAAGCCGCAAGGCAUCUGUGAAGGUGCUGCAUGGUUGUCGUCAGCUCGUGCCGUGAGGUGUCGGCUUAAGUGCCAUAACGAGCGCAACCCUCGUUGUCAGUUACUAACAGGUUCCGCUGAGGACUCUGACAAGACUGCCAUCGUAAGAUGUGAGGAAGGUGGGGAUGACGUCAAAUCAGCACGGCCCUUACGUCCGGGGCUACACACGUGUUACAAUGGGGGGUACAGAGGGCCGCUACCACGCGAGUGGAUGCCAAUCCCCAAAACCUCUCUCAGUUCGGACUGGAGUCUGCAACCCGACUCCACGAAGCUGGAUUCGCUAGUAAUCGCGCAUCAGCCACGGCGCGGUGAAUACGUUCCCGGGCCUUGCACACAC